GGUCUGCCAGCCUUAGGCUUUUCACUGGCAAGUGACCAUGAUGACCACAAGCACCAUGCCCCACCCCGAGGCAGGUUCUCCUGCACAUUUUUCCCUUAGGCUGGAAAUCCAGCUCGCUUAUAUAACAAGCUUCAUUGCAACACUCUCCUUCAAGCCAGAGGGACUCUGGACUAUUCCCAUUUCUCUGGCUCCACAGCAGGCACUCCCAGCUUCCUGUGAAUUUGGUGAGCCAUCUGACCGUGUCUGCCAAGCCUCUCCUUUCUGGGGCCUCGCUUACCUGAGAUCUGCCUUCCCAUGGGAAAUGCAAUGUGAAGUAAAAGCAACAGACAGCCUGAGGAGCCCAGGCACCACGACGCUCAAUGCGAUUACCCCUCAGGAUGCUGCGGGGUCCCUCCAGGGUCUAGAGACCAGAACUCCCAGAAGCCUGCAGAGCCGAUUUCUCCCAUUUCCCUGUGCUGGACUGUCACAGCACUGGGGACCAACUUCUUACCACCCAAU
RNAcentral lists this long non-coding RNA (498 nucleotides) under Equus caballus (horse). RNAcentral's name for it is "lncRNA (ENSECAG00000040402.3)". The record is from RNAcentral. Lineage: Eukaryota; Metazoa; Chordata; Mammalia; Perissodactyla; Equidae.